Molecule: long non-coding RNA, 367 nt
Filed under: Panax ginseng (ginseng)
Lineage: Eukaryota; Viridiplantae; Streptophyta; Magnoliopsida; Apiales; Araliaceae
Description: long non-coding RNA (PGIN_LNC006192)
Source: RNAcentral
UAAAACUAUGUUAGUAAUUAACAUAGCUUGAGUGUUGGCCUUGACUGGCAAAUAAGAAUUUGAAUAAGUAUAAAGUCGUUAGUUAAUACGAUUAGCAAUGAGAAGUGAAAUAUGUUAUGAUUAUACGAAUUAUGUGUAUGAUUAAAUAAAUAUACAUUAUAUAAUGUGAAUACAUUUAUUUUGUAUAUAAAAGUGAAGUAAGAAUUAAGUUAUGUAACCUAAUAUAUAUAUUAGGCGUGAUAAUUAAAUAACCUAAAUGGUUAUCGUUAUUUAGUGGUCCUAAUAUUUUAUUUUUAUAUUAGUGACCUAAUUUAAGAGAAUUGUGGAACAUGUCACAAUUUAUUAAAUUAUUUUGUUCGAAUAGGUG